UACGUAGGGACCGAGCGUUGUCCGGAUUCAUUGGGCGUAAAGAGCUCGUAGGCGGCCACUCAAGUCGAAUGUGAAACCUCGAGGCUUAACCUCGAGCCUGCAUUCGAUACUGGGUGGCUAGAGUCUGGUAGGGGGAUCUGGAAUUCCUGGUGUAGCGGUGAAAUGCGUAGAUAUCUGGAGGAAUACCGGUGGCGAAGGCGGCAUCCUGGACCAUAACUGACGCUGAGGCGCGAAAGCUAGGGGAGCAAACGGG
This 253-nucleotide ribosomal RNA is filed under the name uncultured bacterium. RNAcentral's name for it is "partial 16S ribosomal RNA". It matches the Rfam family "Bacterial small subunit ribosomal RNA", at positions 524 to 776 of the family's 1533-position model. The record is from RNAcentral.